Molecule: ribosomal RNA, 465 nt
Filed under: uncultured bacterium
Lineage: Bacteria
Description: partial 16S ribosomal RNA
Rfam family: Bacterial small subunit ribosomal RNA
Source: RNAcentral
GACGAACGCUGGCGGCGUGCUUAACACAUGCAAGUCGUACGGUAAGGCCCUUUCGGGGGUACACGAGUGGCGAACGGGUGAGUAACACGUGAGUAACCUGCCCACAACUUUGGGAUAACGCUAGGAAACUGGUGCUAAUACUGGAUAUGUGCUCCUGCUGCAUGGUGGGGGUUGGAAAGCUCCGGCGGUUGUGGAUGGACUCGCGGCCUAUCAGCUUGUUGGUGGGGUAGUGGCCUACCAAGGCGGCGACGGGUAGCCGGCCUGAGAGGGUGACCGGCCACAUUGGGACUGAGAUACGGCCCAGACUCCUACGGGAGGCAGCAGUGGGGAAUAUUGCACAAUGGGCGCAAGCCUGAUGCAGCAACGCCGCGUGCGGGAUGACGGCCUUCGGGUUCUAAACCGCUUUCAGCAGGGACGAAGCUUUUUGUGACGGUACCUGCAGAAGAAGCACCGGCUAACUACGUG